Molecule: small nucleolar RNA, 122 nt
Filed under: Echinops telfairi (small Madagascar hedgehog)
Lineage: Eukaryota; Metazoa; Chordata; Mammalia; Afrosoricida; Tenrecidae
Description: Small nucleolar RNA SNORA61 (ENSETEG00000025400.1)
Source: RNAcentral
ACCCUCCCAAUUCCUGACCCCCUGGAUCUGAACCUUGGUUUGAAUGGCUAUCAAUGGGGGGAAAGUCAAACUGAAGUGGACUGGAAUUCUUUGGUGACAGACCAAGUUCCUUUCAAACAUAC